Leptopilina boulardi is the source of this 857-nucleotide RNA transcript. RefSeq lists it as uncharacterized. NCBI's taxonomy places the organism in Eukaryota, Metazoa, Arthropoda, Insecta, Hymenoptera, Figitidae. The record is from RefSeq and is a predicted model, not a curated record. The transcript has 4 exons.
AGCAGCUUAGAAGUCAAAUUAUAAUGAAAGGAAAAAAAAAGAGACAGGAUUUAUAAAUCAUUAAAAAGGAAGAAUUAAUUUUUCUUAUUAUAAUAAUUAGAUGACAUGAAUUUUGAUGUUGGACCGACGAAUACUCAGAAUGGAGGAAACGGAAGAAACGAUGGCAUGACGAUGUCGCGACGUCAAAGGCUCUUCCAAUCUUUCUCACCCUUUCUUGCAUCAGCAGCAUAUCUUGUCGUGAACUCGAAACUGACAGCUACUUUCUUGACAGGCAGAGUCUACUUUGUAGUAUAGUCCAACCACCAUUUCGUCGUCUUUAUGUAUAUACAGAUUGACAAGGCAAAGAAAGAAAGAGAGCAAAAAAAAAAGACGAUGCGUUGGUCCCGCAGGGCGAUUUCUUGGAACAAUAAACAAUCGGUGACAGCGGAAGUUGAAAUACAAAGACGUAAGAAAAAGCUUGUCGACAGCAACAGGUACUUUUGACAGGUGUACAAUGGAGGCAGGUCGCGCUAUUGUUGAGGCACUUGUUGCCAUUUAUAAAAAUCGACAGAAAGGAAGGAAGGAAGGUACAAUAUCCCUUUUGUAAAAUCAAGUAUCUCUUUCAUUCAAAAAUUAUUCAUCGUUUAACUAUAAAUACCAUUCAUUUUUUCUGUGGAGACUUUUUAAAAUUGGAAAAAUAUUCUAUGUGGCGGAACUUAAAUCCUCAGAGCACUUCUUUUGAGAAAAAUACAAAAAAAAAACCUAUUGUAGAAUUUAUAUUUUCCACCGUGAGGCAAAGAGGAUAGAAAUUUUGCAUUUAUGAGUCCUAUUCGACGAACAUGUGUUUGCGCUCGGUACCACAUGUUUCUAAUGACUAU